CGAACAUAAAAUAAAAACAGCAAGACGCGUGAAACCGGUGACCGAUGCUUAGAUAAUUAAUUUCCAGGAAUAUUAUAUAGAAAACGUGAGUAACGAAAUAAUGUAGAUAGGCGUAACUCUGAACAACGGGGUGCUGGGUCCCUCCAAGUAUAUGUAACGCUACCCGAAUCACCGUCUAACCAGGUGAGUUCACCACGAUCAAAUGCGAGCAACUUCACGACAUUCUGCUUUAUGAAUUAUUUUUUGACUUGUAAUAUUUUUGUGGAUUUAAUUUAA
Molecule: non-coding RNA, 276 nt
Organism: Cinara cedri
Lineage: Eukaryota; Metazoa; Arthropoda; Insecta; Hemiptera; Aphididae
Source: the annotation of a GenBank genome assembly